CAGUAGCCGCGGUAACACGAAGGGGGCUAGCGUUGCUCGGAAUCACUGGGCGUAAAGGGCGCGUAGGCGGACAGUUCAGUCGGGGGUGAAAGCCCGGGGCUCAACCUCGGAAUUGCCUUCGAUACUGGCUGUCUUGAGUAUGAGAGAGGUGUGUGGAACUCCGAGUGUAGAGGUGAAAUUCGUAGAUAUUCGGAAGAACACCAGUGGCGAAGGCGACACACUGGCUCAUUACUGACGCUGAGGCGCGAAAGCGUGGGGAGCAAACAGGAUUAGAUACCCCCGUAGUCCCUGUCUCUUAUAC
Molecule: ribosomal RNA, 301 nt
Filed under: uncultured bacterium
Lineage: Bacteria
Description: partial 16S ribosomal RNA
Rfam family: Bacterial small subunit ribosomal RNA
Source: RNAcentral